GAUGAAGAACGUAGCGAAACGCGAUAAGUAAUGUGAAUUGCAGAAUCCAGUGAAUCGUCGAAUCUUUGAACGCACAUUGCGCCCGCCAGCAUUCUGGCGGGCAUGCCUGUUCGAGCGUCAUUUCAACCCUCGACCUCCCCUUGGGGAGGUCGGCGUUGGGGACCGGCAGCACACCGCCGGCCCUGAAAUGGAGUGGCGGCCCGUCCGCGGCGACCUCUGCGCAGUAAUACAGCUCGCACCGGGACCCCGACGCGGCCACGCCGUAAAACACCCAACUUCUGAACGUUGACCUCGAAUCAGGUAGGACUACCCGCUGAACUUAAGCAUAUCAAUAAGCGGAGGA
RNAcentral lists this unclassified non-coding RNA (343 nucleotides) under soil metagenome. Its description in RNAcentral is "partial contains 5.8S ribosomal RNA, internal transcribed spacer 2, and large subunit ribosomal RNA". The stretch from base 1 to 120 matches the Rfam family "5.8S ribosomal RNA", at positions 35 to 154 of the family's 154-position model. The record is from RNAcentral.